This 476-nucleotide ribosomal RNA is filed under the name uncultured bacterium. RNAcentral describes it as "partial 16S ribosomal RNA". It matches the Rfam family "Bacterial small subunit ribosomal RNA", at positions 28 to 523 of the family's 1533-position model. The record is from RNAcentral.
GAUGGACGCUGGCGGCGUGCUUAACACAUGCAAGUCGAGCGAGAGAGUUCUUCGGAACAAUCUAGCGGCGGACGGGUGAGUAACACGUGGGCAACCUGCCUCAUAGAGGGGAAUAGCCUUCCGAAAGGAAGAUUAAUACCGCAUAACAUCGUUGAAGGGCAUCCUUCGAUGUUCAAAGGAGCAAUCCGCUAUGAGAUGGGCCCGCGGCGCAUUAGCUAGUUGGUGAGGUAACGGCUCACCAAGGCGACGAUGCGUAGCCGACCUGAGAGGGUGAUCGGCCACAUUGGGACUGAGACACGGCCCAGACUCCUACGGGAGGCAGCAGUGGGGAAUAUUGCACAAUGGGGGAAACCCUGAUGCAGCAACGCCGCGUGAGUGAUGACGGCCUUCGGGUUGUAAAGCUCUGUCUUUGGGGACGAUAAUGACGGUACCCAAGGAGGAAGUCACGGCUAACUACGUGCCAGCCGCCGCCGUAA